Bactrocera neohumeralis is the source of this 2444-nucleotide RNA transcript. It is a transcript of the gene named ribonucleoprotein RB97D-like, with no coding region annotated. The record is from RefSeq and is a predicted model, not a curated record. NCBI's taxonomy places the organism in Eukaryota, Metazoa, Arthropoda, Insecta, Diptera, Tephritidae. The transcript is spliced from 6 exons.
AUUUUAUUUCGCUUUGAAGUAGCCCUCGCCAUUCCAUUAUUUCAUAUAUGUGAAGUGAACAAACAGCAGAUUUUCUUGUGAAUAAACCUGGUUAAUUUAAUUAAGAUAGUUAAUUCUUAACAAAUUAAAAAUGAUUAAGACAGAAAAUAUUUAUCAAGCGGCCCAUAAACCUGAGGAGCACCAAAAUGGUGGAGAGGUAGAAGUUGAUCACCUUCGCAAAAUGUUUAUUGGAGGUUUGUCAGCAGUAACAACUGAAGAGUCUCUCCGGAGUUUUUAUAAGCAAUGGGGCGACGUAGUUGAUGCUAUAGUUAUGCGUGAUCCAGCAACAAAGCGUUCCCGCGGAUUUGGAUUUAUUACUUAUUCUGACACGUUUAUGGUAGAUCGAGCGCAAGCGGCCCGUCCACACGUAAUUGACGGCAAGCAAGUAGAUUCGAAGCGUGCAUUACCUAAACCUGAAUUAGGUAAACCAGAAGCUAGUACAACGGUGAAAAAAAUAUUUGUAGGAGGUUUAAAAGAAAAUCAUGAUGAACAGGCUUUAACGGAACAUUUCUCACAAUUUGGUAAUGUGGUUGGAGUUAAAAUUUUAACAGACAAAACUACCGGACGCAAACGUGGUUUUGCAUUUGUGGAGUUUGAUGACUACGAUGCCGUAGACAAAGCAGUUUUACAUAAAAAUCAUACAAUUAAGUAUGUGUUGGUUGAUGUAAAAAAAUCUGUUUACAAACAAGAGUUAGCCAAGAAACGAGCCACUCAAGCACAGCAAGCAGGUGUGCCCCCAGGUGCAGCACCUGCAAACGGGUAUCAACAACCAGCAGCUCCAUAUGCCCAACAGCCUGCCUAUGGCUAUCCACCACAAAUGGGUCCACCGGCAUACAAUGGAUGGGGCGGUUAUCCCCAAGCUGCACCUCCCGCUGCUUAUCAACAACCUCCACCAGCAGCUCCCGUUGCUGGAUACGGUGCUUAUACAGCGCCGCCGCAAAACGGUGCAGCUCCGGGUUGGGGUGCGCCCGCCGCAUAUCCAGCUCCUACCGCUUGGCCUCAAAAUGGGUAUGCAGCAGCUCCCCCUGCCGCGGCCCCAGUACCACCACCUACAGCUGCACCUGCUGCCGCACCAGCCGUUAAUAGUUGGAAUGGAGCCGCCGCCGCACCUACUGUAGCUGCUCCACAAAAUUUUGGCGAUUACCAACAGUCAUAUAACGGUGGCCCGCAAAAGGCCGGCAGCUUACAAGGAAACCGAAUGAACCCUUAUAGUGUGUCAUCGGCGCCUAGUUAUGGUUCAACCGCUUCAACCGGUUACCUGAAUAUGUCCAAUACGACGGUUAAAAGCUCGUCAGUGAACACUGGUUACAAAACGCAAUCUUAUGUUGCUCAGACCAAGCGUUCUUAUUAGAUUAUACGCUUUCAAGAGAAUAUAUCUGCAACAAAUGAAGUCAAUACAGUAAAAAGUGUAUUUUAAAAAUUCCAUGGUCAUACUAUUAUGUAAGCUUGCUACAGCAGGCAUUUAAGAUGUAUGCUUAUACAUAACAUUAAUGUACUACUACAUAGAUAACCAGAAUUAUUUUAAGAGAAACAAUUUAAAAAACAAAACAACCCAAUCCAACCCCAAGAAAGAAAGAUUUACAUAAAAUGCACUACGUACAUUACAUAGAGCAAAACAAAAGAACAAAACGCACUUCAUUAAGGAUGAUUUCCGAUAUUUAUAGUAAUUAAUAUAUGAACAUAUGUAUUUUAAAGCAAAUAACUUAAAUAAUACAUUCGCUGCUAUGUACACAUUAUUAUAUAGCGUACAAAAAUGAUAUAGUAGAUCGCUUAUCUAGAUGAUACUUAAUAUCGGAUAAAUAUUUCCAUAAAAGUCAGCGUGCUAACGUUUUGGUAAUAAAAAAAAAUAACAACAAAUACUGAGGCAAUGCAGUUCAAAAGCGACGAAAAAAAUAUUUGAACGUAUUCAGCACAACUUGGAUCAAAAUUGCAGACAGCAAUUAGAAACUCACCAGCAUUGAAACAAAUAUAGACAUUGAUUCAUAGAUUAAGAAACUUAUUUAAUAUUUCAGCACAGCUGUAAAAGCGCUUUAGAACUAGCAUGAAAUAGAAAACAAUUAUAACGAGAGGAAUAAUUGCUGUUAUACUUUGCGUUGCAAAUGAAUUUUGUAGGGUUUUGUUUUAUUUAAUAUUGCUUUGUAUUUCUUUUUUUUUACAUUGAACUAAUACAAGAGAACUGAACUGUUUGUUUAACAUCCAUGACAAAGAAGUUUUAGUUUAUAAAGAGUUAACAGCCUUUACUUUUGGCACUUUAGAAUUCCUAAGUGUAUGUUUUUUUUCCUUUUUUAUUAACACUUGCAAUAUUUUAAAUUAUAAAGAAAAACAAGUUCUCUUAUAGUGACUGCAAAAUUAAACAAAAAAAAUCAAACAAAUAAUAAAAGGAACACUUUUAUACUUUAAUAAUA